This 253-nucleotide ribosomal RNA is filed under the name uncultured bacterium. Its description in RNAcentral is "partial 16S ribosomal RNA". It matches the Rfam family "Bacterial small subunit ribosomal RNA", at positions 524 to 776 of the family's 1533-position model. The record is from RNAcentral.
UACGUGGGGGGCAAGCGUUGUCCGGAUUUAUUGGGCGUAAAGAGCGUGUAGGCGGCCAGACAGGUCCGUUGUGAAAACUAGAGGCUUAACCUCUAGACGUCGAUGGAAACCGUUUGGCUAGAGUCCGGAAGAGGAGAAUGGAAUUCCUGGUGUAGCGGUGAAAUGCGCAGAUAUCAGGAAGAACACCCGUGGCUAAGGCGGUUCUCUAGUACGGUACUGACGCUGAGACGCGAAAGCGUGGGGAGCGAACAGG